RNAcentral lists this long non-coding RNA (1114 nucleotides) under Homo sapiens (human). RNAcentral describes it as "long non-coding RNA NONHSAT067509.2". The record is from RNAcentral. Lineage: Eukaryota; Metazoa; Chordata; Mammalia; Primates; Hominidae.
ACCUUAUUUACUGUAUUCAUCAAAUUGAUCUCUAGGGCAAAUUAUUUCACCUCCUGAGGACAGACACACAUCUGUCAACAGGCAGCACCAUGUUUAUGUUCCAAUUGGCUAGAAACACACUGAUGUUUAAUGAAGUCUGAGUUGCCACAAAAGGCAUUUCCAUAGUCACGGCACUAGUAGGGUUUUCUUCUGCAUGAGUUCACUUAUAAGGAAGGAGCUGUGACUCUCCAUUACAGGAGUUUUCAACUUGACUGAUUCUACCCAUUUCUCUUGUGUGCAUUUUCUUAUGUUUGACAAGGUUUGAUAAGUGGGAGAAGGCUUUCUCACAAUCACUGCAUCCAUACGGCCUCUCUCCUGUAUGCGUUCUUUGAUGUACAUUGAGUACUGACUUUGUGGUGAAGGCUUUUCCACAUUCAUUGCACUCAUAAGGUUUCUCUCCUGUGUGAAUUCUCUGAUGGGUAAUGAGGCCAUAUUUGUGUGAAUAGGAUUUUCCGCACUCGGUACAUACAAAGGGAGUCUUUCCUGUAUGACAUCUCUCAUGUUGUAUGAGGCAUAUUUUCUGGCUGAAGGCUUUACCACAUUCAUUGCAUUCAUAGGGUUUUUCUCCUGUAUGAGUUCGCUGAUGUAUAAUAAGAGUGCGCUUUGUGGUGAAGCCUUUACCACAUUCAUUGCAUAUGUAAGAUUUCUCUCCUGUAUGAGUUCGCUGAUGUAUAACGAGAGUGCGUUUGACAGUGAAGCCUUUUCCACAUUCGCUGCAUAUGUAAGAUUUUUCUCCUGUGUGGGAGCGCUGAUGUACAAUGAGAUUGCUCUUCACGGUAAAGCCUUUUCCACAUUCACUGCACAUAUAGGGUUUCUCUCCAGUAUGAGUUCGCUGAUGUACAACAAGAUAGCGCUUCAUGGUGAAGCCUUUUCCACAUUCACUGCAUAUAUAGGGUUUCUCCCCUGUAUGAGUUCGCUGAUGUACAAUGAGAUUGCUCUUCACAGUGAAACCUUUUCCACAUUCACUGCAUAUGUAGGGUUUCUCUCCUGUAUGAGUUCGUUGAUGUUCGAUCAUACGGCUCUUCAUGGUGAAGCCUUUCCCACAUUCAUUGCAUAUAUAUGGUUUCUCUCCUGU